This 467-nucleotide ribosomal RNA is filed under the name uncultured bacterium. RNAcentral describes it as "partial 16S ribosomal RNA". The stretch from base 49 to 467 matches the Rfam family "Bacterial small subunit ribosomal RNA", at positions 39 to 507 of the family's 1533-position model. The record is from RNAcentral.
GGGGGGGGGGGGGGGGGGGGGGGGGGCGGGGGGGGCGGGCGGGGGGGCGGGGCGUGCGGUGUGGGUCAGGGGGGGACGGGUGGGUAACACGUGAGGGACCGGCCCUUGACGCUGGGGUGAGCGUUGGAAACGGCGGCUAAUACCGGGGACGAGCUGAGACCGCGUGGUCAUCCGUUGGAACGAUUUUUUGGUCACGGAUGGACUCGCGGCCUAUCAGCUUGUUGGUGAGGUAAUGGCUCACCAAGGCGACGACGGGUAGCCGGCCUGAGAGGGUGACCGGCCAACCUGGGACUGAGACACGGCCCAGACUCCUACGGGAGGCAGCAGUGGGGAAUAUUGCACAAUGGGCGCAAGCCUGAUGCAGCAACGCCGCGUGAGGGAUGACGGCCUUCGGGUUGUAAACCUCUUUUAGUAGGGAAGAAGCGAAAGUGACGGUACCUGCAGAAAAAGCACCGGCUAACUACGUG